Molecule: ribosomal RNA, 506 nt
Filed under: Gammarus pseudolimnaeus
Lineage: Eukaryota; Metazoa; Arthropoda; Malacostraca; Amphipoda; Gammaridae
Description: partial 16S ribosomal RNA
Rfam family: Bacterial large subunit ribosomal RNA
Source: RNAcentral
CGCCUGUUUAUCAAAAACAUUUUCAUCAAGUGUAGUGAAGAUAGGGUCUGCCCAGUGAAGGAUAAACGGCUGCGGUAUUUUGACUGUGCUAAGGUAGCAUAAUCACUUGUUUUUUAAUUGGAGGCUGGAAUGAAGGGUUUAACUAGCAGUAUUUGUUUGUGGAGCCAGGUAAUAUAUUAAAGUCGGGGUAAUAAUUCUGCGAUAAGCUGGGGGACGAUAAGACCCUAGAAGCUUAAUAAAAUUAGGCAGACUUAGUGCUAGGAGUGAAGUUUAUUUUGCUGGGGUGGCAGUGUUAAGUAAACUAACGUAGUUUUGAGUGAUCCUUUAAAUAAAGAUAGAGCGUGAGAGUUACUCUAGGGGUAACAGUGUGAUAUUUUUGGAGAGACCUUAUCGAUAAUUAUGAUUACUACCUCGAUGUUGAAUUAAGAUACCUGUGUGAAGCAGAAAGUACAAUAGGAGGUUUGUUCAACCUUUGAAGUCUUACAUGAUCUGAGUUCAAACCGGAG